This 250-nucleotide ribosomal RNA is filed under the name uncultured bacterium. RNAcentral's name for it is "partial 16S ribosomal RNA". It matches the Rfam family "Bacterial small subunit ribosomal RNA", at positions 524 to 773 of the family's 1533-position model. The record is from RNAcentral.
UACGGAGGGUGCAAACGUUGCUCGGAAUCAUUGGGCGUAAAGCGCACGUAGGCGGUUCCGCAAGUCGGGUGUGAAAGCCCUCGGCUUAACCGAGGAAGUGCAUUCGAAACUACGGGACUUGAAUACUGGAGAGGAUCGCGGAAUUCCCGGUGUAGAGGUGAAAUUCGUAGAUAUCGGGAGGAACACCAGUGGCGAAGGCGGCGAUCUGGACAGAUAUUGACGCUGAGGUGCGAAAGCGUGGGGAGCAAAC